This 246-nucleotide ribosomal RNA is filed under the name Triticum aestivum (bread wheat). Its description in RNAcentral is "partial small subunit ribosomal RNA". Lineage: Eukaryota; Viridiplantae; Streptophyta; Magnoliopsida; Poales; Poaceae. The record is from RNAcentral.
AUGAAGACAACACCUUUGAGCACCUACGCAGGAAGUAGAGAUAGUAUAUACUCUAUAUCUCAGGGAAUACCCGCGUCGAAGGAGGAGGAAGCAGAGGCUGGCAACAAGGAGCGGGUGUGGGUGCUCAUCCUCGCCGCUGACCACAAGUGCUGCGAGAAACUUUGGGCAGAAUUUGCUGCCUCCACUGGGCUACUCGUUGUCACCUCAUUCAUCUACGCUUGGUGGUUUAGUGUCCUCUUUAGUUAG